CGGACGGGUGAGUAACGCGUGAGGAACCUGCCUUUCAGUGGGGGACAACAGUUGGAAACGACUGCUAAUACCGCAUAACGUACUGGUAUCGCAUGGUACUGGUACCAAAGAUUUAUCGCUGAGAGAUGGCCUCGCGUCUGAUUAGCUAGUUGGUAGGGUAACGGCCUACCAAGGCGACGAUCAGUAGCCGGACUGAGAGGUUGGCCGGCCACAUUGGGACUGAGAUACGGCCCAGACUCCUACGGAAGGCAGCAG
Molecule: ribosomal RNA, 255 nt
Filed under: uncultured bacterium
Lineage: Bacteria
Description: partial 16S ribosomal RNA
Rfam family: Bacterial small subunit ribosomal RNA
Source: RNAcentral